GUUUUGGGCUAGAAGAGUAAGGGAUGGCUCCUUCCUACACAGCAGAGGUGUCAAAAACUGGCCAAGAAAGGGAUGUGCAAAACUGGAAAUAAAAGAUCUCCUGUGGAAGGGGAAAUAGGUCCCACUAACUCUUGUGCCAGUGCUUCGUGAAGGGAAAAGAAAGAUGGAAGUGGAGAAGAGAAUGGAAAAGAAGGAAAAGGCAAAGGGCAGCCUGGCACAGAAGGACCUGGAGGAUAUUUUCUUUCCGGAGCCACUUUCUCCAGAUGCAAAGUUUGGAUGUUUGAUGCUUCCCAAAGCCAGCCAUGAGUGAGAGAUCAGAGCACCAGGACCUCUCCCUGUCUCCAACAGCCCUCCCCUGCUCCAUGUUUUCAGUUUGAAACAGCAUCACCCAGCUCCUAAAUCCAGCAGCACCAGGGAAGCAGAGAACUGGAAGCAGAGCCAGCAUCAAGAUCCAAAUAUCAGAGCUAGGUUUUAUCUUCCUGGUAAACCAAACUGGAAUGCUCAGACCUCAGCCUGAGCUGCCUCU
This 526-nucleotide long non-coding RNA is filed under the name Chloebia gouldiae (Gouldian finch). RNAcentral describes it as "Erythrura gouldiae (Gouldian finch) lncRNA (ENSEGOG00005016912.1)". The record is from RNAcentral. Lineage: Eukaryota; Metazoa; Chordata; Aves; Passeriformes; Passeridae.